RNAcentral lists this ribosomal RNA (376 nucleotides) under uncultured bacterium. Its description in RNAcentral is "bacterial SSU rRNA". It matches the Rfam family "Bacterial small subunit ribosomal RNA", at positions 521 to 896 of the family's 1533-position model. The record is from RNAcentral.
UAAUACAGAGGGUGCGAGCGUUAAUCGGAUUUACUGGGCGUAAAGGGCGCGUAGGUGGUUGUGUAAGUGAGAUGUGAAAUCCCUGGGCUUAACCUAGGAACUGCAUCUCAUACUGUAUAGCUAGAGUAUUGUAGAGGGUAGUGGAAUUUCCGGUGUAGCGGUGAAAUGCGUAGAGAUCGGAAGGAACACCAGUGGCGAAGGCGGCUACCUGGACAAAUACUGACACUGAUGCGCGAAAGCGUGGGGAUCAAACAGGAUUAGAUACCCUGGUAGUCCACGCUGUAAACGAUGAAAACUAGAUGUUGGGCAGCAUGACUGUUUAGUAUCGAAGCUAACGCGAUAAGUUUUCCGCCUGGGGAGUACGGUCGCAAGAUUA